Molecule: long non-coding RNA, 2639 nt
Filed under: Xyrichtys novacula (pearly razorfish)
Lineage: Eukaryota; Metazoa; Chordata; Actinopteri; Labriformes; Labridae
Source: RNAcentral
GUAAACUGGAUGUUCUUCAGUCCAGCUGAUGAAGUGAGUCUCAGAGUGGAAACACUGAACGUCUUUUUUUCUCUCCUCAGAUGGAGUUAACAUCUGUCAGAGUGAAUAAGAAGAGGAUCGUGUGUUUCCUGACGAUCAGAGAGGUGGAGGCAGCAGCAGUGAGGGUGAGGUGAGUCUCUGACUGAGAGACUGACUGACCAAUCACAGCGGGCGGAGAGGACUCUGGGAGCUGCACUUUGACCUGCUCUGAGAUCAGCUCAGGACCUGGACUCUGGAUAUUUGAUAUUUUCCCUCAUACUCUGGGAUCAAACAGUCUGAACAGGUUUGUUUUGUUGAUGGAAACAUGAUCAUAAAUUUACACUUUGAUUGGAUUACUUUGUUUUCACCAUGAUGCAGCGCCACCCAGUGGAAAUAUAAAGAGGUGGAGUUGAUUUAUUCCCUCAUAUUUCUGCAGCAGGAGUUGAUACCAUGUGUGAGAGUAGAUCAGUCAGAAGUUCAGAUUAAACCCAAAGGUUUUUUCUUUCCUUUGCACCGUUAGAGACCGAAUAUAAACUGAAGGGAGAGGAAGAGAAGUGAGGAGAGAUGGAGGUGAAGGGAGGAGGAGGAGGACAGGGUUUGGGGUUUUAACAAAAAUCUGAAGCUUUAUUCUUUCACUUGAUUAUUUUUAUUCAUCCGUUUUCUUCUUCAUUUUCUGAACUGAUUGUAAAUAUUGACUGGAGGUAAAUUGACCUUAUUUUAUAUUAUUAGACAUUAUUUUCCGUCUCUUUACAUGUUUUUGUUCUCAUAUCAUCUUUGUGCUCAUCAAUAAUCGAUUCCCUCCAGUUUGAACAAAUACAAUUAUUAAACCAUAAAUGAGACCUGAGAGUAAAAUUAAAAUGUGUGAAAUAUAAUCAGUCAAAGGAAAGAUUCUUAAACAAAAACAAAAUCAUUAUUUUUACUUUAUUAUGAUGGAGAAGUUUUCCUCUGACAGACAAAAAUAACCAUAUUGACCGGAGUCUGGAAAAAGUGAGAUCAGCAUCUAUUCAGGGUGAAGUCAUUAAUGUGGUCGAUGCUGUUUUAUAAACUCAGUGUUGUUGAUUACAAUCUCAGCUUCAUAAACUGAUGCUACAGUGGAGUGACUUCCUGUAAAAUCCACUGGCUUUGUGAGACCGUCAGCUUUCAGGAGAUCAGUUUGUGUUUCUGUGACACUCCAAAGCUUUUCUAUCCCACAGAAAAGAUCGGUGUGUUUUCAGAGACCUUCCUGAUCCCAUCCCUCCAAAAUAAAAAUAAUCUGAUGGUUUAUGGAUUCAUUUCAGUAACAAAGUGUCAUUUCUGUUGUUAGCCAAUCAGAGGCUGUAUCUGCCAUCAGCUGACCUGUAAAGGUCCAAUCAGAAGUCAGGACAGCUCAUGCCACAGUCUGAUCACACUACAGACACAUAAAACAUAGAACUAUUGUAAACAGAUUUGUCCUCUUCAGUUUAUCUACUAUCAAUAGAUCUGUGCUCUGUCUGUGUAACACUCUGUUGGUUCUUCAUUUACACCAGAUCAUUUUUUAUUUCAUUUCACUGUAACAAUGCCAUUUAAAGAUAAUAAAAACUUUAUUUGAACCAAAACAUGUUAAAAACGUCAACUCGGCUCGUUUCAUUCACUGUGUGCAAUUGAUUAUUAUUAUUUUUCAUUCAAACAGAAACUAGAUUUGGUCUUUAAAAAGUCCUCAAAGUGAGUCUGAAAAGUAGAGGAAGGUUUUAUCAUCAGGGUGCAGCACAGUUGUUUCCUGUGUUUUCAUUUGUGAUAUUCUCUCUAAGGUGUGUUAUUGUUCAUUUAAAGUAUGUGGAGGACAAAUCCACACAUCUAACAAAGAAGGUAAAAUAUAAAGAUAGGAGAUUUCUGCAUGACAUCAACGAUAUCCUGGAUUUAGUUUUCUAAGCAACAGGUGGUCGUCUUUUAUCGGGGGUACUUUGAUCCAGAAAUCUGAAAAGGGGUUACUAAAGCAAAAGAAGAAAAACCAGAGACUGUAUAUAGAAUGGACAGAGUCUGCCUCCUCGCUGGGUGAAGCCACUCUGAGAACAGCACCCUCUGUUGAUGGGCUGCAGUAUAGGUCAUAAAUCCCGCCUGCGCCAGCAAAGCUUAUGGAGCUGUGGACGAACUUUAGAAAUUUAUUACACAGAACAUAAUUUUUUCUCCCUCCUGGUUGUGAUGUUGACAUGUAGUUAUUGUCAGACUGGUUUGUGCUCAAGUCCUCUUUUUUCUGUGAAGCUCCAUUUUUAAAAGUUAUUAGGGGGUUCAUGUUUGCUAUGACGUUUCACAGCCAUAAGGAAUAACCAAUCGGAGCCUAGCACUUCUAGCCAAUCAGAUGCGAAGGAGGGUGGGACCUUCCCCUACCAUCCCACGAAAAAAAAAACCAAACACGUCCGGGUUUGCCGACCUUUAUUUCUGAGCCCCAGAUAACAGGACAGAGAUACCUAAAGCAUACAACGUGAACUUGUGUUAUCACAUCAACAUAUUUGGCUCCUACACUGAAUAUAAUGUUGGACAGUGAUCUUUGUAAAGUGAGGUGAAGGAGGAGUUUGUGUAGUGACAACACAAUCACACUGUGUGCAAAAAUAAAAACCUGUUCAACCAAAUCUUCACAUUUAGUUGGGGUAUGAGAAGAGGAGUGC